RNAcentral lists this long non-coding RNA (600 nucleotides) under Elaeis guineensis (African oil palm). Its description in RNAcentral is "long non-coding RNA (EGUI_LNC081598)". Lineage: Eukaryota; Viridiplantae; Streptophyta; Magnoliopsida; Arecales; Arecaceae. The record is from RNAcentral.
AGUUUUCAAGUAGUUUCCCACUUUACCAAGUGACACUGACCACUGUUUUCAAGGAGUGGCAAAAAUCCAUGUCAAACUAUUUCAGCAACUAGUGCUGAUUUAGUGGCAAAUUAAUAGUUCUUUCAGCAAAAAUAAUAGGCUUACUACAUGUGAUGUAUCUAUUACCUCGAAAAAUACUAUGCUCUUCUGCAUGCAAGUUUUUGUUCAUUUCAAACAGGGCUACGAAAAGUUCUGAAGAGGAAAGGAAUGAUGGGUCUGUACACCUUGGACCACGCUUGCUAACAGAUUUACCAUUGUCACCAUCCCGAACCCCUCCAUUUUUAAGUUCUUCAAGCCUCCCUGUUGAUAAACUUAACUCCUAGAUUGUAACUCCCAAGGUUGGGGCAAAAGCAGAUCAUCUUGGACCAUAUCACUUGUAACUCAAGAAUUAUCUUUUCAAAAAUUUUUGCUACCUUGAAAAGUUAUCCAAAUCAACUAAUUCUUAUAGAAAACCCAUGUAGAUUCAAAAUGAUAUACCGAUCCUAUCAUAAGUUUUCUUUCUAACACUUACAAUGACACCUAAUAGUUGCUUCCACAAAAGAGUCAACAAGCAAAAAAAUG